Molecule: long non-coding RNA, 218 nt
Filed under: Bos taurus (domestic cattle)
Lineage: Eukaryota; Metazoa; Chordata; Mammalia; Artiodactyla; Bovidae
Description: long non-coding RNA NONBTAT016455
Source: RNAcentral
CCGAACUGCAUGCAACAUGGGGAAGUGGGGCAAGAUAAGGGAUUGGGCCGUCCUUGGCGCUUUCAGCUUUCUCCCGUGGGACACUUAGCGGUUUAAAAUAAUUCGCAAUGUCACCCUUCAUCCUCGGAUGGAUGUAUCAGCAUUUUUUUUCCCCCCAUAAGUGGACGCACAGAUGAAGCCUUCUGCACAAUUAGCAAAACCGGUCACAUCGUGAACAU